GGCUGGUCUGAUGGUAGUGGGUUAUCAGAACUUACUAACAUUAGUGCCACUAAAGUUGAUAUACACAUCCCCCACACUGCUAAAUUUGACUGGCUUAAA
This 99-nucleotide Y RNA is filed under the name Microcebus murinus (gray mouse lemur). RNAcentral's name for it is "Y RNA (ENSMICG00000045395.1)". It matches the Rfam family "Y RNA". From Rfam's summary of the family: Y RNAs are components of the Ro ribonucleoprotein particle (Ro RNP), in association with Ro60 and La proteins. The record is from Rfam by way of RNAcentral. Lineage: Eukaryota; Metazoa; Chordata; Mammalia; Primates; Cheirogaleidae.